CCAGGGAUAACUGGGCAUUUAGGAGCACGAAUUCGGUCAGGUUUGGAAGAAAGCAGCCGUAGUGACCACCAGAUGGGUUGGUUGUCCCGUCAAG
This 94-nucleotide signal recognition particle RNA is filed under the name Holosporaceae bacterium. RNAcentral's name for it is "signal recognition particle sRNA small type". It matches the Rfam family "Bacterial small signal recognition particle RNA". Rfam says of the family: The signal recognition particle (SRP) is a universally conserved ribonucleoprotein involved in the co-translational targeting of proteins to membranes. Archaeal SRP consists of a 7S RNA and homologues of the eukaryotic SRP19 and SRP54 proteins. In most bacteria, the SRP consists of a 4.5S RNA and the Ffh protein (a homologue of the eukaryotic SRP54 protein). Lineage: Bacteria; Pseudomonadati; Pseudomonadota; Alphaproteobacteria; Holosporales; Holosporaceae. The record is from RNAcentral.